RNAcentral lists this transfer RNA (80 nucleotides) under Podarcis lilfordi (Lilford's wall lizard). RNAcentral's name for it is "tRNA.Ile". The stretch from base 8 to 66 matches the Rfam family "tRNA", at positions 8 to 63 of the family's 71-position model. Rfam says of the family: Transfer RNA (tRNA) molecules are approximately 80 nucleotides in length. Their secondary structure includes four short double-helical elements and three loops (D, anti-codon, and T loops). The record is from RNAcentral. Lineage: Eukaryota; Metazoa; Chordata; Lepidosauria; Squamata; Lacertidae.
GCAUGGAUAGCUCAGUUGGUUAGAAUGUGGUGCUGAUAACACCAAGGUUGCAGGUUUGAUCCCUGUAUGGGACAGCUGCA